Molecule: ribosomal RNA, 245 nt
Filed under: uncultured archaeon
Lineage: Archaea
Description: partial 16S ribosomal RNA
Rfam family: Archaeal small subunit ribosomal RNA
Source: RNAcentral
UACCAGCUCCUCGAGUGGUCGGGGCGAUUAUUGGGCCUAAAGCAUCCGUAGCCGGUUCUGUAGGUCCUCUGUCAAAUCCAACGGCUUAACCGUUGGCCCGCAGAGGAUACCGCAGGACUAGGAGGCGGGAGAGGUGGACGGUACUCCACGUGUAGGGGUAAAAUCCUUUGAUCCGUGGAAGACCACCAGAUUGCGCGCGGUUAGUGACCACGCGCAUGGUGAAUGGCGAAGGCGGUCCACCAGAA